This 275-nucleotide unclassified non-coding RNA is filed under the name uncultured fungus. Its description in RNAcentral is "partial contains small subunit ribosomal RNA, internal transcribed spacer 1, and 5.8S ribosomal RNA". The stretch from base 1 to 73 matches the Rfam family "Eukaryotic small subunit ribosomal RNA", at positions 1759 to 1831 of the family's 1831-position model. The record is from RNAcentral. Lineage: Eukaryota; Fungi.
ACAAACUUGGUCAUUUAGAGGAAGUAAAAGUCGUAACAAGGUUUCCGUAGGUGAACCUGCGGAAGGAUCAUUAAUGAAUAUAAAUCGUACUGUUCACGCAGUAUGUGGGGUGGUGACUUCGGUCCCGCUCAUUCAUAUCCAUAACACCUGUGCACUGUUGGAUGCUUGCAUCCACUUUUAAACUAAACAUUAUUGUAACAAAUGUAGUCUUAUUAUAACAUAAUAAAACUUUCAACAACGGAUCUCUUGGCUCUCGCAUCGAUGAAGAACGCAGC